This 280-nucleotide ribosomal RNA is filed under the name uncultured Glomus. RNAcentral's name for it is "partial 18S small subunit ribosomal RNA". It matches the Rfam family "Eukaryotic small subunit ribosomal RNA", at positions 591 to 876 of the family's 1831-position model. Lineage: Eukaryota; Fungi; Glomeromycota; Glomeromycetes; Glomerales; Glomeraceae. The record is from RNAcentral.
CCAAUAGCGUAUAUUAAAGUUGUUGCAGUUAAAAAGCUCGUAGUUGAAUUUCGGGAUCAAGAAAUCGGUCAUGCCUCGGUAUGUACUGGUUUUAUUGGUUCUCACCUUCUAAAGAACCGUAAUGCCAUUAAUUUGGUGUUACGGGGAAUUAGGACUGUUACCUUGAAAAAAUUAGAGUGUUUAAAGCAGGCUCACGCUUGAAUACAUUAGCAUGGAAUAAUGAAAUAGGACAUCCGAUUCUAUUUUGUUGGUUUCUAGGAUCGAUGUAAUGAUUAAUAGG